ACGGAGAGUUUGAUCCUGGCUCAGGAUGAACGCUAGCGGCAGGCUUAACACAUGCAAGUCGAGCGGAAACGAAGAUAGCUUGCUAUCAGGCGUCGAGCGGCGGACGGGUGAGUAACGCGUAGGAACCUACCUAAUAGUUUGGGAUAGCCAUUGGAAACGAUGAUUAAUACCGGAUACGCCCUACGGGGGAAAGCAGAGGACCUUCGGGCUUUGCGCUAUUAGAUGGGCCUGCGUGAGAUUAGCUAGUUGGUGGGGUAAUGGCCCACCAAGGCGACGAUCUUUAGCUGGUCUGAGAGGAUGAUCAGCCACACUGGGACUGAGACACGGCCCAGACUCCUACGGGAGGCAGCAGUGGGGAAUAUUGGACAAUGGGGGCAACCCUGAUCCAGCGAUGCCGCGUGAGUGAUGAAGGCCUUAGGGUUGUAAAACUCUUUCAGGGGUGAAGAUAAUGACGGUAACCCCAGAAGAAGCUCCGGCUAACUCCGUGCCAG
RNAcentral lists this ribosomal RNA (491 nucleotides) under Fragilariopsis kerguelensis. RNAcentral's name for it is "partial Bacterial small subunit ribosomal RNA". It matches the Rfam family "Bacterial small subunit ribosomal RNA", at positions 1 to 511 of the family's 1533-position model. Lineage: Eukaryota; Bacillariophyta; Bacillariophyceae; Bacillariales; Bacillariaceae. The record is from RNAcentral.